UACGAAGGGGGCUAGCGUUGCUCGGAAUCACUGGGCGUAAAGGGUGCGUAGGCGGGUUUUUAAGUCAGGGGUGAAAUCCUGGAGCUCAACUCCAGAACUGCCUUUGAUACUGAAGAUCUUGAGUCCGGGAGAGGUGAGUGGAACUGCGAGUGUAGAGGUGAAAUUCGUAGAUAUCAGGAGGAACACCGGUGGCGAAGGCGGCUGUCUGGACGACAACUGACGCUGAGACGCGAAAGCGUGGGUAGCAAACAGG
Molecule: ribosomal RNA, 253 nt
Filed under: uncultured bacterium
Lineage: Bacteria
Description: partial 16S ribosomal RNA
Rfam family: Bacterial small subunit ribosomal RNA
Source: RNAcentral